This 437-nucleotide ribosomal RNA is filed under the name uncultured Sedimentibacter sp. RNAcentral's name for it is "bacterial SSU rRNA". It matches the Rfam family "Bacterial small subunit ribosomal RNA", at positions 958 to 1392 of the family's 1533-position model. The record is from RNAcentral. Lineage: Bacteria; Bacillati; Bacillota; Tissierellia.
AACGCGAAGAACCUUACCAAGGCUUGACAUCCCCUUGACAGGUACAGAGAUGUACCAUCAUUUUCGAAUGCAAGGGAGACAGGUGGUGCAUGGUUGUCGUCAGCUCGUGUCGUGAGAUGUUGGGUUAAGUCCCGCAACGAGCGCAACCCUUAUCCUUAGUUGCCAGCAAGUUAAGUUGGGCACUCUAGGGAGACUGCCGGUGAUAAACCGGAGGAAGGUGGGGAUGACGUCAAAUCAUCAUGCCCCUUAUGUCUUGGGCUACACACGUGCUACAAUGGUCGGUACAACGGGAAGCGAAGGAGCGAUCCGGAGCAAAUCCCAAUAAACCGAUCCCAGUUCGGAUUGCAGGCUGCAACUCGCCUGCAUGAAGUCGGAGUUGCUAGUAAUCGCGAAUCAGAACGUCGCGGUGAAUGCGUUCCCGGGUCUUGUACACACCG